Molecule: ribosomal RNA, 253 nt
Filed under: uncultured bacterium
Lineage: Bacteria
Description: partial 16S ribosomal RNA
Rfam family: Bacterial small subunit ribosomal RNA
Source: RNAcentral
UACGUAGGGUGCAAGCGUUGUCCGGAAUUAUUGGGCGUAAAGGGCUCGUAGGCGGUCUGUCACGUCGGGAGUGAAAACUCAGGGCUUAACCCUGAGCCUGCUUCCGAUACGGGCAGACUAGAGGUAUGCAGGGGAGAACGGAAUUCCUGGUGUAGCGGUGAAAUGCGCAGAUAUCAGGAGGAGCACCGGUGGCGAAGGCGGUUCUCUGGGCAUUACCUGACGCUGAGGAGCGAAAGUGUGGGGAGCGAACAGG